AUGCAUACAAACACAUGUAUGCAUGUAUGCAUACAAACACACACAUGCAUACAUGCAUACAAACACACACAUACAAACACAUGCAUACAUGCAUACAAACACACACAAACACACACACAUGCAUGCAUGCAUGCAUACAAACACACACAUAAACACACACACACACACACACACACACACACAUGCAUGCAUGCAUUCAUACAAACACGCACAUACAAACACACACAUACACACAUGCAUGCAUACAAACACACACACACACACAUGCAUGCAUACAAACACACACAUACACACACAUACAUGCAAACAAACACAUACAUACACACACACACAUGCAUGCAUACAAACACACACAUACAACACACACACACACACACACACACACACACACACACACACACACACACACACACACACACACACACACACACACACACACACAUGUGUAAAGUGAUGAAGGAGCCAUUUCUCAGGGUUAUUAUCCUAAAACCACUGUUCCCCUUUGACACAGUGCCAGAGUGCAUGAAACAGCCUCAAGGUCAUGCAUUGUUUGUGAACCAUCCAGUGUUUGUGACUAACAUCAAAGCGUUUCCUUUCGUAGUGGAAGGAGACCUGCUCCGACGCCUUGGAGCCGGCAUUUCACUCAAGGAUUGGACACUCCAAACUCACAUCACUCAACCGACGCCCUUGGCGUCCCUUGGGCACCUCAUUGCAUGUUCAGGCGGUGACAAAAUCAACAGAACCGUCAAACUGGUCGAGCAAUCCAGUACCAGUAAGGUCAGUGACAUCCAGAGAGUCUGCGUAGUCUCUGCAACACCACUCCACACAGAGGUGUGGAAAACACCUACCCUAGUGGGAGUUGGCGGUUGCAAUGACACACCACCUGAGACUCCGCACCCUGCGGUGGGGACAUCACCUGCUAAAGGGGGGACUGAGGGUGGCGCUGAUACUCCGGCUGAAGCCCAGAACCUUGCGGUGGGGACUCCCCCUGCCGAAGGACAGGCUGAUGACGUCGCUGAUGUUACUGCGCUACAGCAGGCGCUGGUGACCUUUAGCCCAGAGGUUGGUGACCCACCUACCGAAGGUGAGGGGAUCCGGUGCCCUGUACCACCACUGGUUGACCACCGAUCUCUCCGACUGCACCUGCGCGUCGACCGAGGGCCCUCCGGAGCCUCCACCUGCGUCGAACCCUCGCAAGGCCGUGCCAGUCUACAACCUACAGCGUCCCUGGUUUCCAUUUCAGGUCUGAUAAAAUACGUUUUGUUAAUCACGUGUUUCGGGCCGCUAUCAACCGCAGUUGAUAUCCAUCCUCAGCCACCACUAACGCGCCUGUAUGAACCUGGGCCCUCUUCAGGUAUCGUACUCUGA
Molecule: long non-coding RNA, 1368 nt
Filed under: Nothobranchius furzeri (turquoise killifish)
Lineage: Eukaryota; Metazoa; Chordata; Actinopteri; Cyprinodontiformes; Nothobranchiidae
Description: lncRNA (ENSNFUG00015006105.1)
Source: RNAcentral